This 497-nucleotide ribosomal RNA is filed under the name uncultured bacterium. Its description in RNAcentral is "partial 16S ribosomal RNA". It matches the Rfam family "Bacterial small subunit ribosomal RNA", at positions 28 to 507 of the family's 1533-position model. The record is from RNAcentral.
GAUGAACGCUGGCGGCGUGCCUAAUACAUGCAAGUCGAGCGAACGGACGAGAAGCUUGCUUCUCUGAUGUUAGCGGCGGACGGGUGAGUAACACGUGGAUAACCUACCUAUAAGACUGGGAUAACUUCGGGAAACCGGAGCUAAUACCGGAUAAUAUUCUGAACCGCAUGGUUCAAAAGUAAAAGACGGUCUUGCUGUCACUUAUAGAUGGAUCCGCGCUGCAGUAGCUAGUUGGUAAGGUAACGGCUUACCAAGGCAACGAUGCAUAGCCGACCUGAGAGGGUGAUCGGCCACACUGGAACUGAGACACGGUCCAGACUCCUACGGGAGGCAGCAGUAGGGACUCUUCCGCAAUGGGCGAAAGCCUGACGGAGCAACGCCGCGUGAGUGAUGAAGGUCUUCGGAUCGUAAAACUCUGUUAUUAGGGAAGAACAUAUGUGUAAGUGACUGUGCACAUCUUGACGGUACCUACUCAGAAAGCCACGGCUAACUACGUG